This 22-nucleotide small RNA is filed under the name Arabidopsis thaliana (thale cress). RNAcentral's name for it is "Ath_wt_17584". Lineage: Eukaryota; Viridiplantae; Streptophyta; Magnoliopsida; Brassicales; Brassicaceae. The record is from RNAcentral.
GAUCCCUCGCGGGUGCACCGCC